This is a long non-coding RNA of Camelina sativa (false flax), 592 nucleotides long. RefSeq lists it as uncharacterized. The record is from RefSeq and is a predicted model, not a curated record. Lineage: Eukaryota; Viridiplantae; Streptophyta; Magnoliopsida; Brassicales; Brassicaceae.
ACCUUUUAUUGCUCAGCAUAUGCCGUCUUGAUCUCCUAGGCUUUGGAAAUUUCACAACGUAUCUAGAGAGUUGAGAACAUGCAGUUGAAUACUUGGUAUUUUAUCACCCUAAAGGGAGUUGUGGCUACCCGUGAAUGUCGUUCUCGUUCUCAUGAUGCUACUGCCAUCCGAGUAGUGCUAAAUUCGUUUUAGAGGUUCUGCUCGCCAGGAACAGGGGACGUGAAUAAUAUGCAUGAAACAGAGAACAUGAAGAAGAAGAAAAUUCAUAUGGUGAAUGGUUUGUUGUUCUAUUCUAGCGGGAAACGGUAUUUAUAUUAACCGAUAAUACUUAUGGUAACUCUCCUUCAUUACAGGAACAUAAAGGAAGGAUCUUAGUUACUUUCAAGAUCAUCAGAUUUUGUGAUUUUAAGUACUUUUAUAUCUAAUUUAGACAUAAGAAAAUAUGCCUAUUUUUUUUAUUGCAGCUAAUCAAUAUCUUGAAAGUUGGAAAACAAUAGAGCUGCAAAAAAUUGUUUGUUGCUUUAAUUUAUUUAUCUGUAACCUGUUUACAAACAUUAUUUCAAAGAAGCUCUCUAAUCAGUUUUGAGUUUAA